GAUGAACGCUGGCGGCGCGCCUAACACAUGCAAGUCGAACGAUUAAAUCACCUUCGGGUGCGUAUAACGUGGCCAACGGCUGAGUAACACAUGGGCAACCUGCCCCUUUCAUUGGCAUAGCCACGGUCAACCGUGGAUAAUACCGAAUACUUCGAGACUUCCGCAUGGAAGACUCGAGAAAGCUCCGGCGGUGCGGGAUUGGUCCGCCGCCAGUGAGCUUGUUGGUGGGGUAACGGCCUACCAAGGCAAUGAUGGGUAGCUGGGUUGAGAGACCGAACAGCCAGAAUGGGACUGAGAGACGGCCCAGACUCCUACGGGAGGCAACAGGGGGGAACCUGGCACAAUGAGCGAAAGCCUGAGGCAGAGACGCCGCGUGCGGGAUGAAGGCUUGCGGGUUAUAAACCGCUUUCAGCAGGGACGAGGCGGAAGUGACGGUACCUGAAGAAGAAGCCCCGGCUAACUACGUG
This 467-nucleotide ribosomal RNA is filed under the name uncultured bacterium. RNAcentral describes it as "partial 16S ribosomal RNA". It matches the Rfam family "Bacterial small subunit ribosomal RNA", at positions 28 to 507 of the family's 1533-position model. The record is from RNAcentral.